Molecule: ribosomal RNA, 802 nt
Filed under: uncultured organism
Description: bacterial SSU rRNA
Rfam family: Bacterial small subunit ribosomal RNA
Source: RNAcentral
GGCUCAGAACGAACGCUGGCGGCGCGUUUAAGCAUGCAAGUCGAGCGGUACUACCCUUCGGGGUAGCUAGAGCGGCGAACGGGUGAGUAACACGUAGAUUAUCUGCCUUGAGGUUGGGGAUAGCCUGUGGAAACACAGGGUAAUACCGAAUAAGCCCUAUGGGGGAAAGGUGCUAAGGCACCGCCUUAAGAUGAGUCUGCGGCUCAUUAGUUAGUUGGUGGGGUAACGGCCUACCAAGGCGACGAUGAGUAGCCGGCCUGAGAGGGUGGACGGCCACACUGGGACUGAGACACGGCCCAGACUCCUACGGGAGGCAGCAGCUAAGAAUCUUCCGCAAUGGGCGCAAGCCUGACGGAGCGACGCCGCGUGAACGAAGAAGGCCGUGAGGUUGUAAAGUUCUUUUCUUACUGAAGAAUAACCGUUGCAGGGAAUGGCAGCGGGAUGACGUUAGGUAAGGAAUAAGCCCCGGCUAAUUACGUGCCAGCAGCCGCGGUAACACGUAAGGGGCAAGCGUUGUUCGGAAUUAUUGGGCGUAAAGGGCGUGUAGGCGGUUUUACAAGUCUGGUGUGAAAUACCGCAGCUUAACUGCGGGGACGCGCUGGAAACUGUAAGACUAGAGUACAGGAGGGGGACCUGGAAUUCCUGGUGUAGGGGUGAAAUCUGUAGAUAUCAGGAAGAACACCGGUGGCGAAGGCGAGGUCCUGGCCAUGUACUGACGCUGAGGCGCGAAAGCGUGGGGAGCGAACAGGAUUAGAUACCCUGGUAGUCCACGCCGUAAACGAUGUGCACUAGGUGCUUGGGG